RNAcentral lists this ribosomal RNA (822 nucleotides) under uncultured Bathycoccus. RNAcentral's name for it is "SSU rRNA". It matches the Rfam family "Eukaryotic small subunit ribosomal RNA", at positions 442 to 1276 of the family's 1831-position model. The record is from RNAcentral. Lineage: Eukaryota; Viridiplantae; Chlorophyta; Mamiellophyceae; Mamiellales.
UACCCAAUCCUGACACAGGGAGGUAGUGACAAUAAAUAACAAUACCGGGCUUUUUCAAGUCUGGUAAUUGGAAUGAGAACAAUCUAAAUCCCUUAACGAGGAUCCAUUGGGGGGCAAGUCUGGUGCCAGCAGCCGCGGUAAUUCCAGCUCCAAUAGCGUAUAUUUAAGUUGUUGCAGUUAAAAAGCUCGUAGUUGGAUAUUGGUUAAGAGGGCGCGGUCGGCCGUUUGGUCUGUACUGCGUUGUCUUGACUUCCUGAUGAGGACAUGCUCUUGGUUAACGCUGAGACAUGGAGUCAUCGUGGUUACUUUGAAAAAAUUAGAGUGUUCAAAGCGGGCUUACGCUUGAAUAUAUUAGCAUGGAAUAACACCAUAGGACUCCUGUCCUAUCUCGUUGGUCUCGGGAUGGGAGUAAUGAUUAAGAGGAACAGUUGGGGGCAUUCGUAUUUCAUUGUCAGAAGUGAAAUUCUUGGAUUUAUGAAAGACGAACUUCUGCGAAAGCAUUUGCCAAGGAUGUUUUCAUUAAUCAAGAACGAAAGUUGGGGGCUCGAAGAUGAUUAGAUACCAUCCUAGUCUCAACCAUAAACGAUGCCGACUAGGGAUUGGUGGAUGUUAAUUGAUGACUUCACCAGCACCUUAUGAGAAAUCAAAGUUUUUGGGUUCCGGGGGGAGUAUGGUCGCAAGGCUGAAACUUAAAGGAAUUGACGGAAGGGCACCACCAGGCGUGGAGCCUGCGGCUUAAUUUGACUCAACACGGGGAAACUUACCAGGUCCAGACAUAAGUAUGAUUGACAGAUUGAGAGCUCUUUCUUGAUUCUAUGGGUG